GAGAGGAGCUUGCUCCUGGAUUCAGCGGCGGACGGGUGAGUAAUGCCUAGGAAUCUGCCUGGUAGUGGGGGACAACGUUUCGAAAGGAACGCUAAUACCGCAUACGUCCUACGGGAGAAAGCAGGGGACCUUCGGGCCUUGCGCUAUCAGAUGAGCCUAGGUCGGAUUAGCUAGUUGGUGAGGUAAUGGCUCACCAAGGCGACGAUCCGUAACUGGUCUGAGAGGAUGAUCAGUCACACUGGAACUGAGACACGGUCCAGACUCCUACGGGAGGCAGCAGUGGGGAAUAUUGGACAAUGGGCGAAAGCCUGAUCCAGCCAUGCCGCGUGUGUGAAGAAGGUCUUCGGAUUGUAAAGCACUUUAAGUUGGGAGGAAGGGUUGUAGAUUAAUACUCUGCAAUUUUGACGUUACCGACAGAAUAAGCACCGGCUAACUCUGUGCCAGCAGCCGCGGUAAUACAGAGGGUGCAAGCGUUAAUCGGAAUUACUGGGCGUAAAGCGCGCGUAGGUGGUUUGUUAAGUUGGAUGUGAAAUCCCCGGGCUCAACCUGGGAACUGCAUCCAAAACUGGCAAGCUAGAGUAUGGUAGAGGGUGGUGGAAUUUCCUGUGUAGCGGUGAAAUGCGUAGAUAUAGGAAGGAACACCAGUGGCGAAGGCGACCACCUGGACUGAUACUGACACUGAGGUGCGAAAGCGU
RNAcentral lists this ribosomal RNA (695 nucleotides) under Pseudomonas sp. RNAcentral describes it as "bacterial SSU rRNA". It matches the Rfam family "Bacterial small subunit ribosomal RNA", at positions 71 to 762 of the family's 1533-position model. Lineage: Bacteria; Pseudomonadati; Pseudomonadota; Gammaproteobacteria; Pseudomonadales; Pseudomonadaceae. The record is from RNAcentral.